Long non-coding RNA from Lepus europaeus (European hare), 1686 nucleotides. RefSeq lists it as uncharacterized. Lineage: Eukaryota; Metazoa; Chordata; Mammalia; Lagomorpha; Leporidae. The record is from RefSeq and is a predicted model, not a curated record. The transcript has 3 exons.
GACAUCUUAGUAUAGGAAGCUUACAGAACCCCUAAUAAACAUGACCAAAAGAGAUCCUCACCACAACCCGUCGUAAUCAAACUCACCACAGUGAAACAUAAAAAAUCUUAAAAUGUGCAAGAGAGAAACGUCAGACCACCCUCAGAGGAUCCCCAAUUAGACUCACAGCUGACUUCUCAUCAGAAACCUUACAAGCAAGGAGGGAAUGGCGAGAUAUAGCCCAGGUACUAAGAGAAAAACUGCCAGCCCAGAAUAUUAUAUGCUGCAAAGCUCUCAUUUGUGAAUGAAGGGGAAAGACCUUUCACAGCAAACAGAAACUGAAAGAAUUCGUCGCCACUCGUCCAGCCCUGCAAAAGAUGCUUAAAGAUUUGAUACACGCAGAAACACGGUCAUCAAUAUGAAAGAAGGUAAAGGAAGGAAACCUCACAGCAAAAGAUCACAGGAAACCCAAAAAUGAACAUAAACAAAGAAGGAAACCUUGGAAGAACCAGUGAAAAGGGUACAAUCGUGGAGACACCAGGAGGAUGACUGCAGCUCUGAUUUUACACAGAAGUCACUCAGCAACCUGUCCACAGGUUCACAGCUUCUGAAGCCAGCUUGGCUCCCUGCGCAUGUUCCUGACACGACUGUCGACUGUGUGGAUGAAGUGAGGACCCAAGGCCCGUGGGUUCAGGCGGUACACGGGGUCCCAAUGAUAGAGAGGAACCGGCUGGAUUGGCCCACAGCUACUUUGCCUUCUGCAAGCGUUGGUUCACUGGAGCGGGUGCAGUGGUGCCAGCUGCCGGAGCUGGUGUACAGGUGAACCUGUUCUCGCGGAGGGUUGCAAGGCCACAGUAGGCAGUACACAGCCACUACUGCUCUGUGAUCGUCUCCCAAGAAACUCCCUGCCCUCUACAGCAGAAGGACCCAGGCGCCCUCCCUGGGUGCCUGGAUUUAAUGACUGUGCCCUCACAUGUGUUCAUGUGUUCCUACAAGGCUGCCCAGAGCUGGACAGCCAUGUGCUUUGGGUCUGGAUCCUAUGGCGGGUCCCAUGAAAAACCCCAAGGUCCUCCCAACGCCACAGGGAGGUCCUCCUGGGGUCUCGGGGCCAAAUGAGCUGAGGCCUCUCCUCCUCCCCGGAUCCCCCGGCGCUCAGAUGAGCCCUAAGUGGGAGCAGAGCAGCCGCGUCCUAAGAGGGGAGAGGGUGUAGCCACGUGGCGUGGCGGCCAAAGGAGCUACCGUGGACGUGCUCUGGUCUUGGGGGCCAGGAUGGCACGUUUGUCGCGUGGACUGCGUUGGAAAGGCCUUGAGGACCAUGGUGCAUGCGAGGCGCACUCCCAGAAAAGCUGAGCUCCGAUGAGAUCCCUGCCUGCCCGCACCAGUGGGCCUGCCUUGGAUGUCAGCGCUACGCACCUGGAGCAGAAAAGGCCACAAGGGUGGCUUGUGAAGAAAGGACAUUUAUCUGGGCUGAGUGGCAGCAAGGCUAAGGCAAGGGAGUUCCUGUGUGCCCAGCGAAUGGGAGGCAAGGCAGCGAAGGCAGAGCAAGCAGCGCGGCUGGAGGGGGGAGCCCAUCGGACUGACUUGUGCAGGUGCCUGCCAGGACCCGAUGGCGGGGCCUGCCCCUCAACUUCUAACACCCUCUGAUGGCCCCCAGCAGGCCCCAGCUGCAAACAUUGCCUUGGGACAUGUACGCAGCCCGUGGGCACC